UACAGAGGUCCCAAGCGUUGUUCGGAUUCAUUGGGCGUAAAGGGCGCGUAGGCGGCGGGGUAAGUCGGGUGUGAAAUCUCAGAGCUCAACUCUGAAACUGCACUCGAUACUGCUUUGCUAGAGGACUGGAGAGGAGAUUGGAAUUCACGGUGUAGCAGUGAAAUGCGUAGAGAUCGUGAGGAAGACCAGUGGCGAAGGCGGAUCUCUGGACAGUUCCUGACGCUGAGGCGCGAAGGCCAGGGGAGCAAACGG
RNAcentral lists this ribosomal RNA (252 nucleotides) under uncultured bacterium. RNAcentral's name for it is "partial 16S ribosomal RNA". It matches the Rfam family "Bacterial small subunit ribosomal RNA", at positions 524 to 775 of the family's 1533-position model. The record is from RNAcentral.